RNAcentral lists this transfer RNA (71 nucleotides) under Peptococcaceae bacterium. Its description in RNAcentral is "tRNA-Thr". It matches the Rfam family "tRNA". From Rfam's summary of the family: Transfer RNA (tRNA) molecules are approximately 80 nucleotides in length. Their secondary structure includes four short double-helical elements and three loops (D, anti-codon, and T loops). Further hydrogen bonds mediate the characteristic L-shaped molecular structure. tRNAs have two regions of fundamental functional importance: the anti-codon, which is responsible for specific mRNA codon recognition, and the 3' end, to which the tRNAs corresponding amino acid is attached (by aminoacyl-tRNA synthetases). tRNAs cope with the degeneracy of the genetic code in two manners: having more than one tRNA (with a specific anti-codon) for a particular amino acid; and 'wobble' base-pairing, i.e. permitting non-standard base-pairing at the 3rd anti-codon position. Lineage: Bacteria; Bacillati; Bacillota; Clostridia; Eubacteriales; Peptococcaceae. The record is from RNAcentral.
GCUGAUGUGGCUCAGGGGUAGAGUAGCGCACUCGUAAUGCGCAGGUCGUGGGUUCGAAUCCCACAGCUCCA